RNAcentral lists this ribosomal RNA (468 nucleotides) under uncultured bacterium. Its description in RNAcentral is "partial 16S ribosomal RNA". It matches the Rfam family "Bacterial small subunit ribosomal RNA", at positions 28 to 507 of the family's 1533-position model. The record is from RNAcentral.
GACGAACGCUGGCGGCGUGCUUAACACAUGCAAGUCGAACGGAAAGGCCCUGCUUUUGUGGGGUGCUCGAGUGGCGAACGGGUGAGUAACACGUGAGUAACCUGCCCUUGACUUUGGGAUAACUUCAGGAAACUGGGGCUAAUACCGGAUAGGAGCUCCUGCUGCAUGGUGGGGGUUGGAAAGUUUCGGCGGUUGGGGAUGGACUCGCGGCUUAUCAGCUUGUUGGUGGGGUAGUGGCUUACCAAGGCUUUGACGGGUAGCCGGCCUGAGAGGGUGACCGGCGACAUUGGGACUGAGAUACGGCCCAGACUCCUACGGGAGGCAGCAGUGCGGAAUAUUGCACAAUGGGCGGAAGCGUGAUGCAGCAACGCCGCGUGCGGGAUGACGGCCUUCGGGUUGUAAACCGCUUUCGCCUGUAACGAAGCGUGAGUGACGGUAAUGGGUAAAGAAGCACCGGCUAACUACGUG